GGAGAGAUGGCUUAGUGGGUAAGAGCACUGACUGCUCUUCCAGAGGUCCUGAGUUCAAUUCCCAGCAACCACA
RNAcentral lists this transfer RNA (73 nucleotides) under Mus musculus (house mouse). Its description in RNAcentral is "tRNA-Ser". Lineage: Eukaryota; Metazoa; Chordata; Mammalia; Rodentia; Muridae. The record is from RNAcentral.